Molecule: ribosomal RNA, 938 nt
Filed under: Escherichia coli
Lineage: Bacteria; Pseudomonadati; Pseudomonadota; Gammaproteobacteria; Enterobacterales; Enterobacteriaceae
Description: bacterial SSU rRNA
Rfam family: Bacterial small subunit ribosomal RNA
Source: RNAcentral
CGCUACACAUGCAGUCGAACGGUAACAGGAAGAAGCUUGCUCUUUGCUGACGAGUGGCGGACGGGUGAGUAAUGUCUGGGAAACUGCCUGAUGGAGGGGGAUAACUACUGGAAACGGUAGCUAAUACCGCAUAACGUCGCAAGACCAAAGAGGGGGACCUUCGGGCCUCUUGCCAUCGGAUGUGCCCAGAUGGGAUUAGCUUGUAGGUGGGGUAACGGCUCACCUAGGCGACGAUCCCUAGCUGGUCUGAGAGGAUGACCAGCCACACUGGAACUGAGACACGGUCCAGACUCCUACGGGAGGCAGCAGUGGGGAAUAUUGCACAAUGGGCGCAAGCCUGAUGCAGCCAUGCCGCGUGUAUGAAGAAGGCCUUCGGGUUGUAAAGUACUUUCAGCGGGGAGGAAGGGAGUAAAGUUAAUACCUUUGCUCAUUGACGUUACCCGCAGAAGAAGCACCGGCUAACUCCGUGCCAGCAGCCGCGGUAAUACGGAGGGUGCAAGCGUUAAUCGGAAUUACUGGGCGUAAAGCGCACGCAGGCGGUUUGUUAAGUCAGAUGUGAAAUCCCCGGGCUCAACCUGGGAACUGCAUCUGAUACUGGCAAGCUUGAGUCUCGUAGAGGGGGGUAGAAUUCCAGGUGUAGCGGUGAAAUGCGUAGAGAUCUGGAGAAUACCGGUGGCGAAGGCGGCCCCCUGGACGAAGACUGACGCUCAGGUGCGAAAGCGUGGGGAGCAGACAGGAUUAUAUACCCUGGUAGUCCACGCCAUAAACGAUGUCGACUUGGAGGUUGUGCCCUUGAGGCGUGGCUUCCGAGCUAACGCGUUAAGUCGACCGCCUGGGGAGUACGGCCGAAGGUUAAAACUCAAAUGAAUUGAAGGGGCCCGCACAAGCGGUGGAACAUGUUAAUUCGAUGCACCGCUUACUUGUCUGACAAGUUGUGA